UAAAACUAGGGUGUAGCUAAUAUUUUAUUACAUUCCGAGAGUUAAACGACAUGUCAGCGCUUAGUAUUGCAAGUGUAUUUUCAUUGAUUCUGCUGGAAAUCCCAUUUCUUCUCAUUCUUUUUUUCAAGGAUAAAUAAGGAUUCCCAACAAAAAAAAAUAUUAUUUUUACCUUAUGUACAAGU
RNAcentral lists this unclassified non-coding RNA (182 nucleotides) under Schizosaccharomyces pombe (fission yeast). RNAcentral's name for it is "non-coding RNA (predicted)". Lineage: Eukaryota; Fungi; Ascomycota; Schizosaccharomycetes; Schizosaccharomycetales; Schizosaccharomycetaceae. The record is from RNAcentral.